RNAcentral lists this ribosomal RNA (431 nucleotides) under Acanthamoeba sp. TW84. RNAcentral describes it as "SSU rRNA". The stretch from base 1 to 363 matches the Rfam family "Eukaryotic small subunit ribosomal RNA", at positions 763 to 1113 of the family's 1831-position model. The record is from RNAcentral. Lineage: Eukaryota; Discosea; Longamoebia; Acanthamoebidae.
CGAUUAGAGUGUUCACCGCAGGCCCAUUCACUUUUCUGCCACCGAAUACAUUAGCAUGGGAUAAUGGAAUAGGACCCUGUCCUCCUUUUUUCAGUUGGUUAAUUCAUGAGAGAGGAACAGGGUAAUGAUUAAUAGGGAUAGUUGGGGGCAUUAAUAUUUAAUUGUCAGAGGUGAAAUUCUUGGAUUUAUGAAAGAUUAACUUCUGCGAAAGCAUCUGCCAAGGAUGUUUUCAUUAAUCAAGAACGAAAGUUAGGGGAUCGAAGACGAUCAGAUACCGUCGUAGUCUUAACCAUAAACGAUGCCGACCAGCGAUUAGGAGACGUUGAAUACAAAACACCUCUAUAUAUAAUUCAGUAUAUGGCUAGCAAUGGCUGUAUAUUGUUUGUGUAUAGUUACGGUGAAUGACUCCCCUAGCCGAUUGUGAGAAAAAA